Molecule: long non-coding RNA, 1596 nt
Filed under: Homo sapiens (human)
Lineage: Eukaryota; Metazoa; Chordata; Mammalia; Primates; Hominidae
Description: HSALNT0357103
Source: RNAcentral
ACUCCUAGGCGGGGCUCCUGCCCUUCUCCCAUCCCACGCGCAGCCAGGAGCCGGGCGGCCCCGGGCACUCGCUGGGAGGCAGCUGCGAUUAGCGCCCUAAUCCCCAGCGCAGACCGCGCAGAGACCGGAGCGGGAGCGGGGCCGCGGCGGGAGCCCCCCACCGUCCCGGGCAGUCCAGACGGCCGGGGCAGCGUGGGAACUGGGACCUCGGGGACCCAGCGCGGCGGCUGUCAGCUCUGGGCCUACACACCCAUGGAAGAGAAAAUCCCUGUGAAAUAUAAGGGCCCCUUCUACGUGCUCAAGAUUAAAAAAAAAAAAAAGGAAAAAGUAGCUCUCACAUGCUUUUGGCAAGUUUUUGAACCAGCUGAUGUAUGGGCCAGGUGAUGUAUGGACCCCUGAUAUAUGGAGCAGCUGAUGUAUGGACCCCUGGUAUAUAGACCACUGAUGUGUGAACCUCCUGAUGAGUGACCCACCAAUAUAUGGACCAGUUGAUGUAUGGACCCACUGAUGUAUGGACCAGCUGAUGUAUGCACCCACUCAGGUAUGCACUAACAGAUAUAUGGGCCAGCUGAUGUAUAGACCCCAAUGUAUAGACCAGCUGAUGUGUGAACAUCCUGAUGUAUGCCUCUCUCCCAACCUGAUAUAUGGACUGGUUGAUGUAUGGACCCCCUGAUGUAUGGACCAGCUAAUGUAUGCACCCACUUAGGUAUGGACUAACUGAUGUAUGGGGCAGCUGAUGUAUAGACCCCUGAUGUAUAGACCAGCUAAUGGGUGAACAUGCUGAUGUAUGCCUCUACCCCCGACCUGAUAUAUGGACUGGUUGAUGUAUGGACCCCUGAUGUAUGGGCCUGCUGAUGUUUGGACCAGCUGUGGCUCUCCACUCACUCUGGACCUUCCACCCUGUUCCUCACCUGUACACUGUUCCUCCUGGCCAUUUGAGUGCCUGACAGCCCUUCGGGACCCAGCCCAGGGGUUACUUCUUCUUGGGUGCAUUUUCUUCAAAAAAAUUUUUUUUAGAGAUGGGGUCUUGCUAUGUUGCCCAGACUGGUCUCUAACUCCUGGCCUCAAGCAAUCCUGUCCCACCAUUGACCCAUCUGAAGAUUGGAGAGACCUUAGGCCCAGGGCUGGGGAAUAACCAUAAUUUGCUCUUCAAUUAUUCUGCAAAUACAUAUUGAGUUCCCACAGUGAUGAACACAGUCCUAAGUACUGAGAUGCAAUAGUAGACAGAAUCUCUGUCUUCAUGAGGCUUUCAUAGUCCUAGGAGGAGAUACGUUACAUUUUAUUUAUUCAUUUAAAUAAGUAAAAAUGUGAUGUGACAUGACAUGAUAAAUCAUAAAGCUAUGUAUAAAGAAAAAUAAAGCCAGAUAAAGGAAAUACAAAGUGAAUGACUGGACAAAUGGCCAACAAACAAAUAAAAAGAGGCUCCGUGUCAUUAGUCAUGAGGGAAAUGUGAUUCAAAUCCACAGUGAGCUCACACUUCACACCCAGUAGGAUGGCGAUCAUAAAAAUAACCGGAAAAUAACUUUUGGCAAGAAUGUGGAGAAAUUGGAACCUUCCUACAGUGCUGGUGGGAAUGUGAAAUAGUGCAGCUGCUGU